Molecule: ribosomal RNA, 428 nt
Filed under: Retusa sp. 14 MAEM-2006
Lineage: Eukaryota; Metazoa; Mollusca; Gastropoda; Cephalaspidea; Retusidae
Description: partial 16S ribosomal RNA
Rfam family: Bacterial large subunit ribosomal RNA
Source: RNAcentral
AAACAUAGCCCUAAGAAAAUAAUUUAGGGUAAGGCCUGCCCAAUGAGAAUCUUGAAUGGCCGCGGUACUUUGACCGUGCUAAGGUAGCAUAAUCAAUUGACUUUUAAAUGAAGUCUGGAAUGAAUGGGAGAACGGAAUUUAGCUGUCUCAAUUUCUUUAUUUUGAAUUUACUAAUCAGGUGAAAAGGCCUGAAGAAGAUAAAAGACGAGAAGACCCUAAGAGUUUGAAAAGGUUUUUGUUGGGGCGACACAGAGUCAAAAGUUAACACUCUGAAAGAAAAUAAGACGGGUUUUUCAUGCUAAAAUAAACUACCUUAGGGAUAACAGCAUAAUCCUAUUGGGUUUGUGACCUCGAUGUUGGACUAGGGAAUUCUUUGGCUAGCCGCUAAUGGAUACUAUUCUGUUCGAAUAUUUACCCCUACGUGAUCU